GGGCGACUAGCUCAGAUGGUAGAGCGCUCGCUUAGCAUGCGAGAGGCACCGGGAUCGAUACCCGGGUUGUCCA
Transfer RNA from Guillardia theta CCMP2712, 73 nucleotides. It matches the Rfam family "tRNA". Rfam says of the family: Transfer RNA (tRNA) molecules are approximately 80 nucleotides in length. Their secondary structure includes four short double-helical elements and three loops (D, anti-codon, and T loops). Further hydrogen bonds mediate the characteristic L-shaped molecular structure. tRNAs have two regions of fundamental functional importance: the anti-codon, which is responsible for specific mRNA codon recognition, and the 3' end, to which the tRNAs corresponding amino acid is attached (by aminoacyl-tRNA synthetases). tRNAs cope with the degeneracy of the genetic code in two manners: having more than one tRNA (with a specific anti-codon) for a particular amino acid; and 'wobble' base-pairing, i.e. permitting non-standard base-pairing at the 3rd anti-codon position. The record is from Rfam. Lineage: Eukaryota; Cryptophyceae; Pyrenomonadales; Geminigeraceae.